ACUCAAAUGAAUAGACGGGGGCCCGCACAAGCAGCGGAGCGUGUGGUUUAAUUCGAUGCUACGCGAAGAACCUUACCCGGGUUUGACAUACAGGUGGUAGGGAAUUGAAAGAGGACCGACCCUUCGGGGAGCCUGAACAGGUGCUGCAUGGCUGUCGUCAGCUCGUGUCGUGAGAUGUCCGGUUAAGUCCGGUAACGAGCGCAACCCCUGCCGUAUGUUACAAGUGUCAUACGGGACUGCCGGUAUCAAGCCGGAGGAAGGUGGGGAUGACGUCAAGUCAGCAUGGCCUUUAUGUCCGGGGCUACACACACGCUACAAUGGUCAGUACAAUAGGUUGCAAAGCCGCGAGGUGGAGCCAAUCCAUAAAGCUGGCCUCAGUUCAGAUUGCAGGCUGCAACUCGCCUGCAUGAAGUUGGAGUUGCUAGUAACCGCGCGUCAGCAUUAGUGCGGUGAAUACGUUCCCGGGCCUUGUACACACCGCCCGU
This 485-nucleotide ribosomal RNA is filed under the name uncultured bacterium. RNAcentral's name for it is "bacterial SSU rRNA". It matches the Rfam family "Bacterial small subunit ribosomal RNA", at positions 899 to 1397 of the family's 1533-position model. The record is from RNAcentral.